AACCAAGGUUUCCGUAGGGUGAACCUGCGGAAGGAUCAUUA
Molecule: ribosomal RNA, 41 nt
Filed under: [Candida] hainanensis
Lineage: Eukaryota; Fungi; Ascomycota; Pichiomycetes; Serinales; Metschnikowiaceae
Description: partial 18S ribosomal RNA
Source: RNAcentral